GAUGAACGCUGGCGGCGUGCCUAAUACAUGCAAGUCGAACGCUUCUUCCCUCCCGUUUGCCUUCACUCAAUUGGAACGGGCGGGUGCGUACCGCGUGGAAACCCUUCCUAAACCUACCCAAUAGCGGCGGAUAACCCGUGCUAACAGGUGCUAAUAUCGCAAAACAGAUUAUGCCGCAUUGCAUGACAGUCAUGCGCUCUCUCAGAGGUGGAUCCUCGUGGCAUUCGCGAGUUGUUAAGGUAACGGCUUACCAAGGCCACGAUGCAUAGCCGACCUGAGAGGGUGAUCGGCCACACUGGAACUGAGACACGGUCCAGACUCCUACGGGAGGCAGCAGUAGGGAAUCUUCAGCAAUGGGCGAAAGCCUGACCGAGCAACGCCGCGUGAGUGAAGAAGGUGUUCGGAUCGUAAAACUCUGUUAUUAGGGAAGAACAAGUAUGUAAGUAACUGAGCGUCCCUUGACGGUAUCUAACCAGAAAGCCACGGCUAACUACGUG
RNAcentral lists this ribosomal RNA (497 nucleotides) under uncultured bacterium. RNAcentral's name for it is "partial 16S ribosomal RNA". It matches the Rfam family "Bacterial small subunit ribosomal RNA", at positions 28 to 507 of the family's 1533-position model. The record is from RNAcentral.